AUUGAACGCUGGCGGCAGGCUUAACACAUGCAAGUCGAACGAGUGGCGGACGGGUGAGUAAUGUAUGGGAAACUGCCAGAUAGAGGGGGAUAACUACUGGAAAGGGUAGCUAAUACCGCAUACCAUUAGAGCUGCCGAUAUGGGAUUAGCUUGUGGGUGGGGUAACGGGUCACCAAGGCGACGAUCCCUAGCUGGUCUGAGAGGAUGACCAGCCACACUGGAACUGAGACACGGCCCAGACUCCUACGGGAGGCAGCAGUGGGGAAUAUUGCACAAUGGGCGCAAGCCUGAUCCAGCCAUUCCGCGUGUAUGAUGAAGGCCUUCGGGUUGUAAAGUACUUUUGGCGGAGAAGCGUUACCCGCAGAAUAAGCACCGGCUAACUCCGUGCCAGCAGCCGCGGUAAUAC
RNAcentral lists this ribosomal RNA (406 nucleotides) under uncultured bacterium. RNAcentral describes it as "partial 16S ribosomal RNA". It matches the Rfam family "Bacterial small subunit ribosomal RNA", at positions 30 to 526 of the family's 1533-position model. The record is from RNAcentral.